AUAAUCGAGUUUUCGGCUGGUUCAUCGAAAGUAUCCGGCCCCGUUUCGAGGUCGAGACGUCGCGUGCCUAGCGUAUUCCGGCCCGGACGGAGAGAGACCUUAGCCCUGCCCUUUGUCCGUUCGUGAGCCGAAUAAUAACACCGCUUCCGCUUCCGACUCUUCCACUAUAUAAAAAGAGCGGACGGCUGGGACCGACCAUCGAUCCGACAAAUCGUUCAACAUGAAACUGCUGUUCUUCUUCGCUUUCUUAGUCCUGUUGGCAGUCGCCUCGGCCGUCUUGCCAUACUACGGCUACGGUUAUCUGCCCGUGGCUCGUUACACCUACUCCUCCUAUUACGGACACCCAUACGCCUACGGAUACUACGGUUUCCUGCGAUAGAGGAUUACCCACGCCUUCGUCUCGACGCAAAAUACCCAUCUCGGGAUGCCAUCUUCGCUCUUCUGUGACUCUCGUGUAGUCUCUUCUUUCUUUAUAAAUAAAUUUUAGCAUUUUUCUUUAAAAAUA
This is a long non-coding RNA of Centruroides sculpturatus (bark scorpion), 505 nucleotides long. RefSeq lists it as uncharacterized. The record is from RefSeq and is a predicted model, not a curated record. The transcript has 3 exons. NCBI's taxonomy places the organism in Eukaryota, Metazoa, Arthropoda, Arachnida, Scorpiones, Buthidae.